RNAcentral lists this ribosomal RNA (253 nucleotides) under uncultured bacterium. RNAcentral describes it as "partial 16S ribosomal RNA". It matches the Rfam family "Bacterial small subunit ribosomal RNA", at positions 524 to 776 of the family's 1533-position model. The record is from RNAcentral.
UACGUAGGGGGCAAGCGUUGUCCGGAUUUAUUGGGCGUAAAGAGCGUGUAGGCGGUCUGAAAGGUCAGCUGUGAAAACUCGAGGCUCAACCUCGAGACGUCGGUUGAAACCAUCUGGCUAGAGUCCGGAAGAGGAGUGUGGAAUUCCCGGUGUAGCGGUGAAAUGCGCAGAUAUCGGGAAGAACACCCGUGGCGAAGGCGGCACUCUGGGCCGAUACUGACGCUGAGGAGCGAAAGCGUGGGGAGCGAACAGG